AUAAACGUUUCGAUCAGGAGAGUAAAUUAUUAAUUUGACCCCCAGCGAGUCUUCGGGUGGUGUGAGAAGACGGCAAAUAAUAAUUGAAGAUGGCCUGGAAAUAAUGGUGUCAGUGAUGAAGCUGGCAACGGAAGUAGCGUCCGUUAUCCCUACGCUUGGUUAUAAUUUUGUAACCAAAUGAGACUAGUUAAGGUGACUUAGCUAGUGAAGUCAGGUGGUACCACGCUAAUUCGUCCUGUAA
RNAcentral lists this non-coding RNA (241 nucleotides) under Limosilactobacillus equigenerosi. RNAcentral's name for it is "Lactobacillus equigenerosi T-box sequence". It matches the Rfam family "T-box leader". From Rfam's summary of the family: Uncharged tRNA acts as the effector for transcription antitermination of genes in the T-box leader family. T-boxes are found upstream of many aminoacyl-tRNA synthetase genes and some amino acid biosynthetic genes usually in Gram-positive bacteria. Lineage: Bacteria; Bacillati; Bacillota; Bacilli; Lactobacillales; Lactobacillaceae. The record is from RNAcentral.